RNAcentral lists this long non-coding RNA (305 nucleotides) under Homo sapiens (human). Its description in RNAcentral is "HSALNT0138193". The record is from RNAcentral. Lineage: Eukaryota; Metazoa; Chordata; Mammalia; Primates; Hominidae.
GAGUCAAGGACAGAGAGACUGGAGUCUUCUUCUUCCACCAUGGAACCUUGGAUAAGUGAGUCCAUGUGAGUUUUCUAAUCACUCAGUAAGUGAUACUUCUAAAAAAGGAAAGAGUCAUUCAAAUAAUUGUGACAUUCUGACUCAGAUUAGAAUCUCAGAACCAUGACAGCUGAGAACAUCCCCAGGCACUGCUUCUCUCUCUAAUAAUACUUCCUCUGAUGUAAUUAACGGUUGGUAGACAAUAUCAGACAAAUUUGCCACAAUUAAAUUACUGAUAUUUUGAGUUUUGGCUACUUGUAAAUUUU